This 497-nucleotide ribosomal RNA is filed under the name uncultured bacterium. RNAcentral describes it as "partial 16S ribosomal RNA". It matches the Rfam family "Bacterial small subunit ribosomal RNA", at positions 28 to 507 of the family's 1533-position model. The record is from RNAcentral.
GAUGAACGCUGGCGGCGUGCCUAAUACAUGCAAGUCGAGCGAACAGACGAGGAGCUUGCUCCUCUGACGUUAGCGGCGGACGGGUGAGUAACACGUGGAUAACCUACCUAUAAGACUGGGAUAACUUCGGGAAACCGGAGCUAAUACCGGAUAAUCUAUUGAACCGCAUGGUUCAAUAGUGAAAGACGGUUUUGCUGUCACUUAUAGAUGGAUCCGCGCCGCAUUAGCUAGUUGGUAAGGUAACGGCUUACCAAGGCAACGAUGCGUAGCCGACCUGAGAGGGUGAUCGGCCACACUGGAACUGAGACACGGUCCAGACUCCUAAGGGAGGCAGCAGUAGGGAAUCUUCCGCAAUGGGCGAAAGCUUGACGGAGCAACGCCGCGUGAGUGAUGAAGGUCUUCGGAUCGUAAAACUCUGUUAUUAGGGAAGAACAAAUGUGUAAGUAACUAUGCACGUCUUGACGGUACCUAAUCAGAAAGCCACGGCUAACUACGUG